Molecule: unclassified non-coding RNA, 368 nt
Filed under: Athalia rosae (coleseed sawfly)
Lineage: Eukaryota; Metazoa; Arthropoda; Insecta; Hymenoptera; Athaliidae
Description: misc RNA ENSAEAG00005011125.1
Source: RNAcentral
UGUGGGACCUGGAAAACCCCCAUAUCGCCCAAAUCCCAAACACCCACCAUCUACCACAGGUCCCGCGAAUCCCGGGGGUCCCGAAGAGCCCGCGUAUCCUGUGGAUCCCGUGAAUCCUGGGGGACCCGAAGAGCCUGUGAGUCCCGGGGGCCUUCCUCGGCGUCGUCCUUGGCAUCACAGGGCCCAUCCAUAUCCUGAAGAUCAAAAAUAUUCCGACGAAUUAAAAAGCGUCGAAGCUUCCGAGUCAGGCGAAAGUCCGGAACAUCCGGUAGAUCAUAUUCAUCACAAGCACCCUCAUUCUACCACUCCAGACGGCCACGAAACUUCCGACGAUCCGGCGAUUCCAAACAGCGGAGAAAUUCCCGUGG